AACGUUGAAGACGACGACGUUGAUAGGCCGGGUGUGUAAGCGCAGCGAUGCGUUGAGCUAACCGGUACUAAUGAACCGUGAGGCUUAACCUUACAACGCCGAAGCUGUU
RNAcentral lists this ribosomal RNA (109 nucleotides) under Escherichia coli. Its description in RNAcentral is "partial 23S ribosomal RNA". The stretch from base 1 to 92 matches the Rfam family "Bacterial large subunit ribosomal RNA", at positions 2834 to 2925 of the family's 2925-position model. The record is from RNAcentral. Lineage: Bacteria; Pseudomonadati; Pseudomonadota; Gammaproteobacteria; Enterobacterales; Enterobacteriaceae. RNAcentral also lists the same sequence under 5 other names.